GUAUAAUAGUAAAAGUUAUUUGCUGGAUGCCGGGUGCCGCGUACUGGUUGCUGGUGCCGGUUAGAGACCUCUGGUGGCGGGCACUGGGAGUGGGGGAAAGUUUAUCUGCAUAAAAAAUAAAAAGGAUAAGCGUAUAAAAAAGACAUGCAAUUUCUCAGGAUUUAUUUUAGUAAAAAGGAACCUUGAAAUGUCUGUAAACCAGAAUCAUAAGUAUCAAGCGGAAAAAGCGCGGACCAGCGAUUAAAUUCAUCCGUGAAAAAACAUCUGAGUGAAAUAGGAAUAUAAAAAGUCGUAUUUUGAGAUUUAUAUCGAACAAUAGUCUUGGAACAUAAAAUUUAUCUACUAAAUUGUAUCUACUAAAAGCUGGUAGCAACCCACAUGAGAGAAUUUAUCACAAGGAUUUAAUACUUUUAUCCGAGUGUAGGGAGCCCUUACUCUUAUGAGCUUUCCU
Long non-coding RNA from Cotesia glomerata, 451 nucleotides. RefSeq lists it as uncharacterized. The record is from RefSeq and is a predicted model, not a curated record. Lineage: Eukaryota; Metazoa; Arthropoda; Insecta; Hymenoptera; Braconidae. The transcript is spliced from 4 exons.